UUCAAUGGGGAGAAUGAGAGUUCUACCAUUGAACUGAAUGACUCCUUUGAUGAGACCAGCAUGCGUUUUGUGCGGCGCAUCCAGGAGUCUGAGGUGAAGGAGGCUUUAAAAAGGAUGAAAGGAGGCAAGGCGAUGGGCCCUGAUUGUAUCCCCAUUGAGGUGUGGAAAGGUCUCGGGGACAUAGCGAUAGUAUGGCUAACCAAGCUUUUCAACCUCAUUUUUCGGGCAAACAAGAUGCCAGAAGAAUGGAGACGGAGUAUAUUAGUACCAAUCUUCAAGAACAAGGGAGAUGUUCAGAGUUGUACUAAUUACCGUGGAAUUAAGUUGAUGAGCCAUACAAUGAAGCUAUGGGAGAGAGUCAUUGAGCACCGCUUAAGAAGAAUGACAAGCGUGACCAAAAAUCAGUUUGGUUUCAUGCCUGGGAGGUCGACCAUGGAAGCCAUUUUCUUGGUACGACAACUUAUGGAGAGAUAUAGGGAGCAUAAGAAGGACUUGCAUAUGGUGUUCAUUGACUUGGAGAAGGCCUAUGAUAAGAUACCGCGGAAUGUCAUGUGGUGGGCCUUGGAGAAACACAAAGUCCUAGCAAAGUACAUUACCCUCAUCAAGGACAUGUACAAUAAUGUUGUGACAAGUGUUCGAACAAGUGAUGUCGACACCGAUGACUUCCCGAUUAAGAUAGGACUGCAUCAGGGGUCAGCUUUGAGCCCUUAUCUUUUUGCAUUGGUGAUGGAUGAGGUCACAAGGGGUAUACAAGGAGAUAUCCCAUGGUGUAUGCUCUUUGCGGAUGAUGUGGUGCUAGUUGACGAUAGUCGGACGGGGGUAAAUAGGAAGUUAGAGUUAUGGAGACAAACCUUGGAAUCGAAAGGGUUUAGUCUUAGUAGAACUAAAACCGAGUACAUGAUGUGCGGUUUCAGUACUACUAGCUGUGAGGAGGAGGAGGUUAGCCUUGAUGGCCAGGUGGUACCUCGGAAGGACACCUUUCGGUAUUUGGGGUCAAUGUUGCAGGAGGAUGGGGGUAUUGAUGAAGAUGUGAACCAUCGAAUCAAAGCCGGAUGGAUGAAGUGGCGCCAAGCUUCUGGCAUUCUCUGUGACAAGAGAGUGCCACAAAAGCUAAAAGGCAAGUUCUACAGGACGGCGGUUCGACCCGCAAUGUUGUAUGGCGCGGAGUGUUGGCCGACUAAAAGGCGACAUGUUCAACAGUUAGGUGUGGCGGAGAUGCGUAUGUUGAGAUGGAUGUGUGGCCACACGAGGAAGGAUGGAGUCCGGAAUGAUGAUAUACGAGAUAGAGUUGGGGUAGCACCAAUUGAGGAGAAGCUUGUCCAACAUCGUUUGAGAUGGUUUGGGGAUAUUCAGCGCAGGCCUCCAGAAGCUCCAGUGCAUAGCGGACGGCUAAAGCGUGCGGAGAAUGUCAAGAGAGGGCGGGGUCGACCGAUUUUGACAUGGGAGGAGUCCGUUAAGAGAGACCUGAAGGAUUGGAGUAUCGACAAAGAGCUAGCUAUGGACAGGGGUGCGUGGAAGCUUGCUAUCCAUGUG
Molecule: ribosomal RNA, 1533 nt
Filed under: Triticum aestivum (bread wheat)
Lineage: Eukaryota; Viridiplantae; Streptophyta; Magnoliopsida; Poales; Poaceae
Description: partial small subunit ribosomal RNA
Source: RNAcentral